Long non-coding RNA from Ornithodoros turicata, 100 nucleotides. RefSeq lists it as uncharacterized. The record is from RefSeq and is a predicted model, not a curated record. NCBI's taxonomy places the organism in Eukaryota, Metazoa, Arthropoda, Arachnida, Ixodida, Argasidae. The transcript is spliced from 3 exons.
GGGCAAGCAACUGGACACAGGGUCAUCCAACGAACAUCGCCAUCAUUCUGCAGCACGAAGCGAGCGCCACUGCGGCAAAUGGCGUAUACACAGCCAGGAC